CCUACGGGAGGCAGCAGUGAGGAAUAUUGGUCAAUGGACGAGAGUCUGAACCAGCCAAGUAGCGUGAAGGAUGACUGCCCUAUGGGUUGUAGACUUCUUUUAUAUGGGAAUAAAAUGUUCCACGUGUGGGGUCUUGUAUGUACCAUAUGAAUAAGGAUCGGCUAACUCCGUGCCAGCAGCCGCGGUAAUACGGAGGAUCCGAGCGUUAUCCGGAUUUAUUGGGUUUAAAGGGUGCGUAGGGGGAGUGUUAAGUCAGUUGUGAAAGUGUGCGGCUCAACCGUACAAUUGCAGUUGAAACUGGGAGUCUUGAGUACAGUAGAGGUAGGCGGAAUUCGUGGUGUAGCGGUGAAAUGCUUAGAUAUCACGAAGAACUCCGAUUGCGAAGGCAGCUGACUGGACUGCAACUGACACUGAGGCUCGAAAGUGUGGGUAUCAAACAGGAUUAGAUACCCGAGUAGUC
This 460-nucleotide ribosomal RNA is filed under the name uncultured bacterium. Its description in RNAcentral is "partial 16S ribosomal RNA". It matches the Rfam family "Bacterial small subunit ribosomal RNA", at positions 338 to 795 of the family's 1533-position model. The record is from RNAcentral.